CGGACCAGUGAUGUUUGUGAUGGGAAGAGCCCUGAACAGUGAAAACUGUGUUUGAAACUCUGAGGUCCAA
This is a small nucleolar RNA of Bison bison bison, 70 nucleotides long. The record is from Ensembl. NCBI's taxonomy places the organism in Eukaryota, Metazoa, Chordata, Mammalia, Artiodactyla, Bovidae.